Molecule: long non-coding RNA, 972 nt
Organism: Epinephelus moara (kelp grouper)
Lineage: Eukaryota; Metazoa; Chordata; Actinopteri; Perciformes; Serranidae
Exons: 3
Source: RefSeq, a predicted model, not a curated record
AGUAUUAACAAAGGAGUAAUAUUUUAUGUACCUUUAUUUUCAUUAGAACAUGUUGAGUAUUUUGGUCAGUGAACACUCCCUGCCGCGCUGUAGUACAUGCGCAUAAGAAGUUCUCUCUCAGUCUGCAUUUGGAGCUGAGAGAGAUAGGUAUGUUGACGGAGCAAAUUAGCUUCUAAAAGUUGUCCUAGUGUUUAAAACACAGCAUUGUAAUGAUAUUUCGAAGAGCUAUGUAAGACAGUUGUAAUGCAUAAAGCAUAAGUCCGUACUGUAAAGCGUUUUGACGUUACCUCAGAAGUUAGCGUUGCGUUGUUUUCAACUGUGUUCCUUUGAAGUGCCACUGCUCGCAUCAAGUUGCGCUUGGCGAUGCAAGGCAUUAUGGGAAAUGUAGUUUUUCUCUGGGAUUUGUAUAAAAUGAAUGUAAAGUGUAUUUUUACUUGUCUAAUGUUGAGUAUGUGUGUGUAAGUGCACACAAGGUCAAUGUGCUUACUCUGUGAUGAAUUAGACAUGUGAGACAGGGCAUAUUUAUUUUUGUCAUUUAUUCUACUUCGUUAUUUUAUGCAUCCUUUACAGUAUUCUGAGAGGAGAGAAGGAUGUGAACUGAUGCAGUCCCUGUCACAUGUUGUAUCAUUACAGCAUUGUCUCCAUCCACUCCCCUCAACCCCAUCUCAAUCCAAGCAUCCCUGCCUACCAAGGAAAGUGCAAGAAAAUCCAUCUCAAUCCGAAAAAAUUCUGUCGGGUGUUUCCAUAUCAGGAUCCCCAUUAGCUGUGCCCUAAAGCAGAGCUAGUCUUCCUGUGGUCCACAUUAAACAAUACCUGGACCAAGACCUGGAGGCAUUCCAGAAUCACAUUUUAAUGUACGCGAGCAAAAGGUUCUCCUUCACACCACUGGUCUAUGAAGCCCGGACCAUUCUAGCGGCAAUGGACUACAACCAACACAGGGGCCGUCCAGAGAGGAAGACAGUUGACGGCAAG